RNAcentral lists this ribosomal RNA (468 nucleotides) under uncultured bacterium. RNAcentral's name for it is "partial 16S ribosomal RNA". It matches the Rfam family "Bacterial small subunit ribosomal RNA", at positions 28 to 507 of the family's 1533-position model. The record is from RNAcentral.
GACGAACGCUGGCGGCGUGCUUAACACAUGCAAGUCGAACGGAAAGGCCCUGCUUUUGUGGGGUGCUCGAGUGGCGAACGGGUGAGUAACACGUGAGUAACCUGCCCUUGACUUUGGGAUAACUUCAGGAAACUGGGGCUAAUACCGGAUAGGAGCUCCUGCUGCAUGGUGGGGGUUGGAAAGUUUCGGCGGUUGGGGAUGGACUCGCGGCUUAUCAGCUUGUUGGUGGGGUAGUGGCUUACCAAGGCUUUGACGGGUAGCCGGCCUGAGAUGGUGACCGGCCACAUUGGGACUGAGAUACGGCCCAGACUCCUACGGGAGGCAGCAGUGGGGAAUAUUGCACAAUGGGCGGAAGCCUGAUGCAGCAACGCCGCGUGCGGGAUGACGGCCUUCGGGUUGUAAACCGCUUUCGCCUGUGACGAAGCGUGAGUGGCGGUAAUGGGUAAAGAAGCACCGGCUAACUACGUG